This 290-nucleotide long non-coding RNA is filed under the name Theobroma cacao (cacao). RNAcentral describes it as "long non-coding RNA (TCAC_LNC005739)". The record is from RNAcentral. Lineage: Eukaryota; Viridiplantae; Streptophyta; Magnoliopsida; Malvales; Malvaceae.
CAAAUUCAGAUGAUCCCCCAUGUUGAUCUUAUUGGUAGAGUAUAUUUCUGGGCCGAUUUGAUUUACAUACACCAAGAAGAAAAUGGCAUCAUCUCUUGUGAAAAGAAUAGACCCCGAUCAAAACAAAAAAGAUUAUCAUAGAAUUGUCUAACUCACAUGCAAUUACUUUGAGUUGAGGAUUGACAUUGCAAAAUUAGAGUUUUUAACCUUCCCACGUAUCACUUAUUUGGAUGGAGGGAAUGUGGCACACUUUAGAGAAAUCCUCUCCUUCUCUUCUGUCUAUCACUUGA